Molecule: ribosomal RNA, 930 nt
Filed under: Aschersonia sp. WYBX-3
Lineage: Eukaryota; Fungi; Ascomycota; Sordariomycetes; Hypocreales; Clavicipitaceae
Description: LSU rRNA
Rfam family: Eukaryotic large subunit ribosomal RNA
Source: RNAcentral
AUUACCCGCUGAACUUAAGCAUAUCAAUAAGCGGAGGAAAAGAAACCAACAGGGAUUGCCCCAGUAACGGCGAGUGAAGCGGCAACAGCUCAAAUUUGAAAUCUGGCCCCCAGGGCCCGAGUUGUAAUUUGCAGAGGAUGCUUUUGGCGCGGUGCCUUCCGAGUUCCCUGGAACGGGACGCCAUAGAGGGUGAGAGCCCCGUCUGGUCGGACGCCUAGCCUGUGUAAAGCUCCUUCGACGAGUCGAGUAGUUUGGGAAUGCUGCUCUAAAUGGGAGGUAUAUGUCUUCUAAAGCUAAAUACCGGCCAGAGACCGAUAGCGCACAAGUAGAGUGAUCGAAAGAUGAAAAGCACUUUGAAAAGAGGGUUAAAUAGUACGUGAAAUUGUUGAAAGGGAAGCGCUUGUGACCAGACUUGGGCCCGGUGGAUCAUCCAGCGUUCUCGCUGGUGCACUCCGCCGGGUUCAGGCCAGCAUCAGUUCGCCGCGGGGGAAAAAGGCUUCGGGAACGUGGCUCCUACGGGAGUGUUAUAGCCCGUUGCAUAAUACCCUGGGGCGGACUGAGGUUCGCGCUCCGCAAGGAUGCUGGCGUAAUGGUCAUCAGCGACCCGUCUUGAAACACGGACCAAGGAGUCGUCUUCGUAUGCGAGUGUUCGGGUGUAAAACCCCUACGCGUAAUGAAAGUGAACGCAGGUGAGAGCUUCGGCGCAUCAUCGACCGAUCCUGAUGUUCUCGGAUGGAUUUGAGUAAGAGCAUACGGGGCCGGACCCGAAAGAAGGUGAACUAUGCCUGUAUAGGGUGAAGCCAGAGGAAACUCUGGUGGAGGCUCGCAGCGGUUCUGACGUGCAAAUCGAUCGUCAAAUAUGGGCAUGGGGGCGAAAGACUAAUCGAACCUUCUAGUAGCUGGUUUCCGCCGAAGUUUCCCUCAGGAAAU